GUGGGGAAUAUUGGGCAAUGGGGGAAACCCUGACCCAGCGACGCCGCGUGAGGGAAGACGGCCUUCGGGUUGUAAACCUCUUUUGUACGGGAAGAAGGAAGUGACGGUACUGUACGAAUAAGUCCCGGCUAACUACGUGCCAGCAGCCGCGGUAAUACGUAGGGGACGAGCGUUGUCCGGAAUUACUGGGCGUAAAGGGCGCGCAGGCUGUGCUGCAAGUCAGCUGUGAAAUGUCUGGGCUUAACCCGGGCAUGCGGUUGAGACUGCAGUGCUGGAGUGCUGUAGAGGCAAGUGGAAUUCCCAGUGUAGCGGUGAAAUGCGUAGAUAUUAGGAGGAACACCAGUGGCGAAGGCGGCUUUCUGGACUGACACUGACGCUGAUGCACGAAAGCGUGGGGAGCAAACAGGAUUAGAUACCCCUGUAGUCC
This 427-nucleotide ribosomal RNA is filed under the name uncultured bacterium. Its description in RNAcentral is "partial 16S ribosomal RNA". It matches the Rfam family "Bacterial small subunit ribosomal RNA", at positions 354 to 796 of the family's 1533-position model. The record is from RNAcentral.